Non-coding RNA from Loxodonta africana (African savanna elephant), 64 nucleotides. Lineage: Eukaryota; Metazoa; Chordata; Mammalia; Proboscidea; Elephantidae. The record is from Rfam.
GGUGGUUUAAUGGUAAAGCGCUUGGCUGCCAACCAAAAGUUCAGUGGUUUGAACCCACCAGCCA